UGGGGAAUAUUGGACAAUGGGCGAAAGCCUGAUCCAGCAAUGCCGCGUGUGUGAAGAAGGCCUGCGGGUUGUAAAGCACUUUCAGUGGGGAAGAAAAGCUUGGUGUGAAUAGCGCCGAGUCUUGACGUUACCCACAGAAGAAGCACCGGCUAACUCCGUGCCAGCAGCCGCGGUAAUACGGAGGGUGCGAGCGUUAAUCGGAAUCACUGGGCGUAAAGCGCGCGUAGGCGGCUAAGUAAGUCGGGUGUGAAAGCCCUGGGCUUAACCCGGGAACUGCAUUCGAUACUGCUUAGCUGGAGUAUGGUAGAGGGAAGCGGAAUUCCGGGUGUAGCGGUGAAAUGCGUAGAGAUCCGGAGGAACACCAGUGGCGAAGGCGGCUUCCUGGACCAAUACUGACGCUGAGGUGCGAAAGCGUGGGGAGCAAACAGG
RNAcentral lists this ribosomal RNA (429 nucleotides) under uncultured bacterium. RNAcentral's name for it is "bacterial SSU rRNA". It matches the Rfam family "Bacterial small subunit ribosomal RNA", at positions 355 to 776 of the family's 1533-position model. The record is from RNAcentral.